AGAGUCGGCUGGACAGUCGCCGUCGCAAUUCGUUCCGCGAAUCGCGAGGGAGGAAAGUCCGGGCUCCAUAGGGCAGAGUGCCAGGUAACGCCUGGGAGGCGCGAGCCUACGGAAAGUGCCACAGAAAACAACCGCCUAAGCGCUUCGGCGCCGGUAAGGGUGAAAAGGUGCGGUAAGAGCGCACCGCACGGCUGGCAACAGUCCGUGGCUAGGUAAACCCCACUCGGAGCAAGACCAAAUAGGGAUCCAUUGGCGUGGCCCGCGCUGGAUCCGGGUAGGUUGCUAGAGGCGUCCAGCGAUGGCCGUCGUAGAGGAAUGACUGUCCUCGACAGAACCCGGCUUACAGGCCGGCUCUCCCC
RNAcentral lists this RNase P RNA (359 nucleotides) under Pseudomonas mangiferae. Its description in RNAcentral is "Bacterial RNase P class A". It matches the Rfam family "Bacterial RNase P class A". Rfam says of the family: Ribonuclease P (RNase P) is a ubiquitous endoribonuclease, found in archaea, bacteria and eukarya as well as chloroplasts and mitochondria. Lineage: Bacteria; Pseudomonadati; Pseudomonadota; Gammaproteobacteria; Pseudomonadales; Pseudomonadaceae. The record is from Rfam by way of RNAcentral.